ACAUUGUGUGAAAGGAAAGAAAGUUAACACUUCCUUAACAGGAAUAAAAGGAGACAUUGGGACCUAACAACGCUCAUAUGGUUAAGACCUUGCCGCCUACCUAGGCAUCUAACCAUUUUUC
Molecule: small nuclear RNA, 121 nt
Organism: Otolemur garnettii (small-eared galago)
Lineage: Eukaryota; Metazoa; Chordata; Mammalia; Primates; Galagidae
Source: Ensembl